Molecule: long non-coding RNA, 493 nt
Organism: Colius striatus (speckled mousebird)
Lineage: Eukaryota; Metazoa; Chordata; Aves; Coliiformes; Coliidae
Exons: 4
Source: RefSeq, a predicted model, not a curated record
CCGGGCGCGAUGGGCUGAAGGACGGUCCCGCUGCUCCGAGGGAUGGAGCCUCCCCUCCCCUGCCCUGCCCUGCCGCUGCCGCAGCUGCUGUAUUUAAGAACACAGAGAGCUGCUUUAUGUGGGAUGGAAGAAAACAAAGCUGUUAACUCCACUGAGCAAACCAAGAAGGGGAAAAGAAUCAACUUCUCCCCCCCAACCCCACCCCAUAGAUCACCAGGGAAGGAUGCUCCUUCCUUGGACUGCUCUGGAUUGAGGUGAAGCUGCUCCCAGCUCCUGGAGGAACAAGGGAUUACCCUGGCAGCUCUGCAGUUCCUCCAGAGUUGUGAGAGACGGUUUAAGAGAGUCUCUGAGACUUGUCUGAACUUCUCCUCCCCCCUGGACAAUGGAGUGGGGAUUGUACUGCACAUGUGCCUCUGAUUACAAUGUAUUACCACUAAUGAUCAUUUGCUUGGAUCAUACUUAUCUGUUUCUUUGGCUAAUAAACUUAGCAAAG